This 253-nucleotide ribosomal RNA is filed under the name uncultured Lachnospiraceae bacterium. RNAcentral describes it as "partial 16S ribosomal RNA". It matches the Rfam family "Bacterial small subunit ribosomal RNA", at positions 524 to 776 of the family's 1533-position model. The record is from RNAcentral. Lineage: Bacteria; Bacillati; Bacillota; Clostridia; Lachnospirales; Lachnospiraceae.
UACGUAGGGGGCAAGCGUUAUCCGGAUUUACUGGGUGUAAAGGGAGCGUAGACGGCGCGGCAAGUCUGAAGUGAAAGGCAGGGGCUUAACCCCUGAACUGCUUUGGAAACUGCCAUGCUAGAGUGCUGGAGAGGUAAGUGGAAUUCCUAGUGUAGCGGUGAAAUGCGUAGAUAUCAGGAGGAACAUCGGUGGCGAAAGCGCUUUACUGGACCAUUAUUGACGCUGAGGAACGAAAGCCAGGGGAGCAAAUGGG